UACGAAGGGGGCUAGCGUUGCUCGGAAUCACUGGGCGUAAAGGGUGCGUAGGCGGGUCUUUAAGUCGGUGGUGAAAUCCUGGAGCUCAACUCCAGAACUGCCUUCGAUACUGAGAGUCUCAGAGUCCGGGAGAGGUGAGUGGAACUCCGAGUGUAGAGGUGAAAUUCGUAGAUAUUCGGAAGAACACCAGUGGCGAAGGCGGCUCACUGGCCCGGUACUGACGCUGAGGUGCGAAAGCGUGGGGAGCAAACAGG
RNAcentral lists this ribosomal RNA (254 nucleotides) under uncultured bacterium. RNAcentral describes it as "partial 16S ribosomal RNA". It matches the Rfam family "Bacterial small subunit ribosomal RNA", at positions 524 to 776 of the family's 1533-position model. The record is from RNAcentral.